UCCCUGGUGGCUCAGUGGUAAAGAAUCUGCCUGCCAGUGCAGGAGACAGGGGUUCAAUCCCUCCUCUGGGAA
RNAcentral lists this transfer RNA (72 nucleotides) under Bos taurus (domestic cattle). It matches the Rfam family "tRNA". From Rfam's summary of the family: Transfer RNA (tRNA) molecules are approximately 80 nucleotides in length. The record is from Rfam by way of RNAcentral. Lineage: Eukaryota; Metazoa; Chordata; Mammalia; Artiodactyla; Bovidae. RNAcentral also lists the same sequence under 1 other name.